UACGUAGGUGGCAAGCGUUGUCCGGAUUUACUGGGCGUAAAGGGAGCGUAGGUGGAUAUUUAAGUGGGAUGUGAAAUACUCGGGCUUAACCUGAGUGCUGCAUUCCAAACUGGAUAUCUAGAGUGCAGGAGAGGAAAGUGGAAUUCCUAGUGUAGCGGUGAAAUGCGUAGAUAUUAGGAAGAACACCAGUGGCGAAGGCGACUUUCUGGACUGUAACUGACACUGAGGCUCGAAAGCGUGGGGAGCGAAC
This 250-nucleotide ribosomal RNA is filed under the name uncultured bacterium. RNAcentral describes it as "partial 16S ribosomal RNA". It matches the Rfam family "Bacterial small subunit ribosomal RNA", at positions 524 to 773 of the family's 1533-position model. The record is from RNAcentral.